RNAcentral lists this long non-coding RNA (468 nucleotides) under Hordeum vulgare. Its description in RNAcentral is "long non-coding RNA (HVUL_LNC012876)". Lineage: Eukaryota; Viridiplantae; Streptophyta; Magnoliopsida; Poales; Poaceae. The record is from RNAcentral.
UCGUGGAUCCGCAGCCUCCAACUCCAGCUCUAUAUAGUCUCUCUCGCCCAGAAAAAAUUAAGAGAGAAGAGUUCAUCACGUUUUACGACACGGAGCCGCCACCACCACCUGUUCUUCCUCUAGAUGGCAGAUCUGGAGUCCGUUCUGCGCUCCGGAGAGGGGAGAUCGACGCCGUUGUCAUCAUCAACCAUAUUUCAUCGCCAAUUACGCGACGCUCUUCACCGUUCAUGAGUAAUCUCAGCGUAGGCUUGCUGGACGGUGAUGGGUUGGAUGAGAUCUAUCAUGUAAUCGAGUUAGUUUUGAUGGGGUUUGAUCCCUAGUAUCCACUAUGUUCUGAGAUUGAUGUUGCUACUACUUUGCUAUGAUUAAUGCUUGUCAUUAGGGCCCGAGUGCCAUGAUUUCAGAUCUGAACCUAUUAUGUUUCAUCAAUAUAUGUGCGUUCUUGAUCCUAUCUUGCAAGUUGUAGUC